This 896-nucleotide ribosomal RNA is filed under the name Salmonella enterica subsp. enterica serovar Newport. RNAcentral's name for it is "partial 23S ribosomal RNA". It matches the Rfam family "Bacterial large subunit ribosomal RNA", at positions 647 to 1547 of the family's 2925-position model. The record is from RNAcentral. Lineage: Bacteria; Pseudomonadati; Pseudomonadota; Gammaproteobacteria; Enterobacterales; Enterobacteriaceae.
UAACCGUAUAGGGGAGCCGAAGGGAAACCGAGUCUUAAUUGGGCGUUAAGUUGCAGGGUAUAGACCCGAAACCCGGUGAUCUAGCCAUGGGCAGGUUGAAGGUUGGGUAACACUAACUGGAGGACCGAACCGACUAAUGUUGAAAAAUUAGCGGAUGACCUGUGGCUGGGGGUGAAAGGCCAAUCAAACCGGGAGAUAGCUGGUUCUCCCCGAAAGCUAUUUAGGUAGCGCCUCGUGAAUUCAUCUCCGGGGGUAGAGCACUGUUUCGGCUAGGGGGCCAUCCCGGCUUACCAACCCGAUGCAAACUGCGAAUACCGGAGAAUGUUAUCACGGGAGACACACGGCGGGUGCUAACGUCCGUCGUGAAGAGGGAAACAACCCAGACCGCCAGCUAAGGUCCCAAAGUCAUGGUUAAGUGGGAAACGAUGUGGGAAGGCCCAGACAGCCAGGAUGUUGGCUUAGAAGCAGCCAUCAUUUAAAGAAAGCGUAAUAGCUCACUGGUCGAGUCGGCCUGCGCGGAAGAUGUAACGGGGCUAAACCAUGCACCGAAGCUGCGGCAGCGACACUGUGUGUUGUUGGGUAGGGGAGCGUUCUGUAAGCCUGUGAAGGUGUGUCGUGAGGCAUGCUGGAGGUAUCAGAAGUGCGAAUGCUGACAUAAGUAACGAUAAAGCGGGUGAAAAGCCCGCUCGCCGGAAGACCAAGGGUUCCUGUCCAACGUUAAUCGGGGCAGGGUGAGUCGACCCCUAAGGCGAGGCCGAAAGGCGUAGUCGAUGGGAAACGGGUUAAUAUUCCCGUACUUGGUGUUACUGCGAAGGGGGGACGGAGAAGGCUAUGUUGGCCGGGCGACGGUUGUCCCGGUUUAAGCGUGUAGGUGUGUGUUCCAGGUAAAUCCGGUU